UACACGUUCCUUAGAUCCACCUCUGGGGGUUGUCCAGCUCUGGUGCUGCUGCAUCAGUCUGUUUGACCCCAGCAGCUUUUCUGGCUGUACAGUUAGAGGUGCUUGAGUCAUUGGCGUGUAAGAGCAGUCUACCUGCUUCUCCAGCUCAAUCACUGCCCUGGCACCCAUGCUGGAUUUCACCAGGGUAGACAAGCUGGAGUGCGGACAAG
Pygocentrus nattereri (red-bellied piranha) is the source of this 209-nucleotide small nucleolar RNA. Ensembl annotates it as Small nucleolar RNA SNORA53. NCBI's taxonomy places the organism in Eukaryota, Metazoa, Chordata, Actinopteri, Characiformes, Serrasalmidae. The record is from Ensembl.